Molecule: non-coding RNA, 72 nt
Organism: Phrynosoma platyrhinos (Desert horned lizard)
Lineage: Eukaryota; Metazoa; Chordata; Lepidosauria; Squamata; Phrynosomatidae
Source: the annotation of a GenBank genome assembly
AGUGUGGUGGCCUAGUAGUUUAGGCAUUAAAGUAUGACUCUGGAGACCAGGGUUCAAAUCCCAGCUUGGCCA